GUUUUGACCCAUAGGUUAAGCUGCUCUAGAGGCUUUCAAGGAGGAUUUCAAGUUCAAGGCCAGCCUGAGCUACAUAGUGAGAUCCUGACUCAGGUUGAGGAGAUGGCUCAGCAAUUAAAGUUCUCGCCCCGCAAGCAAGAAGACUGCAGGUUGGCUAUGCAGAGUCUACAUCAGUGCUGGGUUGGUAUGGCAGCUGGCUGUAAAUCCAGCCUUAGAGCACAGAGAUGGGAUUUUAGGGCAAGCUGGGUUGUCAGGGUAUCCACGUGGCGAACUCUGUAUUUGACUAGGGAAUUCCAUGUCAUAGAAUUCAGUGGAAGAAUGAUCAAGGAAAUUCUCAACAUUCAUCUUGGACCUCUAUGCUCAUAUGCAAACAUGUGUAUACAUGACCCUCAUGUGCACACUCAAGUACAUACAUGUAAGCACAUGAUUGCACACCAUGUGCAUAUACACCAUACAUAUAAAGAGAAGAAAAAAGAAAAACAAAGAUCCUGUCUCAUAAAACAAAAAGUGAAGAUAUCAUUAUGUUGUAUAUAAAUCUAUAAGCAAUAUAAGUGAACUUCAUGUUAGACUCUGGAGUCCUGUCUCCAACUCUCUCUCUCUCUCUCUCUCUCUCUCUCUCUCUCUGUAUGUGUGUGUGUGUGUGUGUGUGUGUGUGUGUGUGUAUGCGAACGUGAGAAAGAAGGUAGUAGUUUGCUCAUGUUCCAACAGAUGACUCUAUAUCCAUGUACAUAUUGAGCUAAAAAAAAUUAGAAGGGACAUGAAGUUAGGAAGGAGACAUGUGGCAGAGAGUAGGGAGUAUCUGACCAAAAUAAAGUCUACAUGUAUGAAAUUAUCAAAGAGAAAAUAAAAAUU
This 852-nucleotide long non-coding RNA is filed under the name Mus musculus (house mouse). RNAcentral's name for it is "long non-coding RNA chr12:12997181-12998033". Lineage: Eukaryota; Metazoa; Chordata; Mammalia; Rodentia; Muridae. The record is from RNAcentral.